This is a long non-coding RNA of Cottoperca gobio, 575 nucleotides long. RefSeq lists it as uncharacterized. The record is from RefSeq and is a predicted model, not a curated record. Lineage: Eukaryota; Metazoa; Chordata; Actinopteri; Perciformes; Bovichtidae. The transcript has 3 exons.
GCUAAAUUCAAUCAUAGUAAGAAUAAUUAGGGGCGCGGCCACUUUGAGUGACAGGUCCGUGCUGUUGCUAGCAGCUAGCUGUGUCUCCUCAGCUAAUCCCAGUCACUGAACUUGACCUCUCAGUCGGGAUUUCCUUCAUGCUAAAAUCGGACAUAAUACGGUUUUCUGUGCGGUUAAUUGUACUAACUAAGAAGUCUGAGCUCUAGCUUUCCGUGAAAGUGACAUUCUAGUAGGCUAUUCUUUCAUUUAGGUGUUAGCACUAGCAGGAAUCGAUGUAUGUGCUCACCAUACCUAGCUUGUUAGCUUAGCUUUUGUACUAAAAAGCACUCUAAAGACUCUGCUCUUCUUUCCCCCGGUCCUGCUGCAGUCUCAGCUGAACACAGUGAAACACCCACAGGAUCCCCGCACCCUGCCUGCUGCUGUUACUACUGCACCGCUGAGAGCCGAGAGGCCAUGCAACAAGUGACGGCUUGGAAAGAGGCAGAAGAGAGAGAGAGAAUCGAACCCGGGCCGCUGUGCUAUGGACCCAGACUUGAUACUUGGGGCUUGCUCUCCACCAGGUGAGCGACGGGGAC